Long non-coding RNA from Cataglyphis hispanica, 549 nucleotides. RefSeq lists it as uncharacterized. The transcript is spliced from 3 exons. Lineage: Eukaryota; Metazoa; Arthropoda; Insecta; Hymenoptera; Formicidae. The record is from RefSeq and is a predicted model, not a curated record.
UAGACCGGGCACCGCACGAUCACUAGACUCCCUCGAUUGUUACACACGGCAUCACCGCUCGGCGAGUUCGGCGCACGUUCAUUGCGUCCCGUAGAAAUUCGAACGAGCUUCGUCCGCCAUGCUCGAGGAAACACACUUGCCAUCUACCGCGGAAUGAGUCAGUUUGGAACGUGGUCUUCGACUCAAAGUAUCCGGAGAUGGGCAACAUUUGGGCAUAUGGGCAUCCUAUUGCAGUGCAGACAUAACAUAAACAAUCGAUAUUUCUGUCCUUCGAUCAUCUAAAAAGAAGAAGAUGUUUAUGGAAUAUACAACGAUAUUAUAUUUCUCACAUGGCGAUAGAUGUGCAGUUUAUAAAGUUGCAACGUUGUACGUAAGUGAAAUUUUAACCGUUUAUUUGAUCACUCAAAUUUUUGACAUUUUUCAUUCCAUUUUUAUUUCAUUCGUGUAAAACGAAAGACAUUAUAUUUUCUUUUAUUAAUAUUAACAAAUAAAGACAUCUAUUUUUCAAUAAUAAUUUAGAGAAAACAUCAGAUAAAUAAUUGGUUACAU